UACGUAGGGGGCAAGCGUUGUCCGGAUUUAUUGGGCGUAAAGAGCGUGUAGGCGGCUAGGUAGGUCCGUUGUAAAAACUCGAGGCUCAACCUCGAGACGCCGAUGGAAACCAUCUAGCUAGAGUCCGGAAGAGGAGAGUGGAAUUCCUGGUGUAGCGGUGAAAUGCGCAGAUAUCAGGAAGAACACCCGUGGCUAAGGCGGCUCUCUAGUACGGUACUGACGCUGAGACGCGAAAGCGUGGGGAGCGAACAGG
Molecule: ribosomal RNA, 253 nt
Filed under: uncultured bacterium
Lineage: Bacteria
Description: partial 16S ribosomal RNA
Rfam family: Bacterial small subunit ribosomal RNA
Source: RNAcentral